This 497-nucleotide ribosomal RNA is filed under the name uncultured bacterium. RNAcentral describes it as "partial 16S ribosomal RNA". It matches the Rfam family "Bacterial small subunit ribosomal RNA", at positions 28 to 507 of the family's 1533-position model. The record is from RNAcentral.
GAUGAACGCUGGCGGCGUGCCUAAUACAUGCAAGUCGAGCGAACGGACGCUUAGCUUUCUUCUCUGAUGUUAGCGGCUUACGUGUGAGUAACACUUGGUUAACCUACCUAUAAUUCUGGUAUAACUUCGUGAAACCGGAUCUAAUACCGUCUAAUAUUUUGAACCGCAUUUUUCAAAAGUUAAAUACGUUCUUUCUGUCUCUUAUAUAUUUUUCCGCGCUGCAUUAGCUAGUUGGUAAGGUAACGGCUUACCAAGGCAACGAUGCAUAGCCGACCUGAGAGGGGGAUCGGCCACACUGGAACUGAGACACGGUCCAGACUCCUACGGGAGGCAGCAGUAGGGAAUCUUCCGCAAUGGGCGAAAGCCUGACGGAGCAACGCCGCGUGAGUGAUGAAGGUCUUCGGAUCGUAAAACUCUGUUAUUAGGGAAGAACAUAUGUGUAAGUAACUGUGCACAUCUUGACGGUACCUAAUCAGAAAGCCACGGCUAACUACGUG